RNAcentral lists this ribosomal RNA (105 nucleotides) under Clostridioides difficile. RNAcentral describes it as "partial 16S ribosomal RNA". It matches the Rfam family "Bacterial small subunit ribosomal RNA", at positions 1438 to 1533 of the family's 1533-position model. Lineage: Bacteria; Bacillati; Bacillota; Clostridia; Peptostreptococcales; Peptostreptococcaceae. The record is from RNAcentral.
ACCUUUUGGAAGAAGUCGUCGAAGGUGGACUCGAUAACUGGGGUGAAGUCGUAACAAGGUAGCCGUAUCGGAAGGUGCGGCUGGAUCACCUCCUUUCUAAGGAGA